Molecule: ribosomal RNA, 206 nt
Filed under: uncultured bacterium
Lineage: Bacteria
Description: partial 16S ribosomal RNA
Rfam family: Bacterial small subunit ribosomal RNA
Source: RNAcentral
CGCGUAGGCGGCCUUGCGUGUCUUCCGUGAAAUCCCUCGGCUCAACUGAGGACGUGCGGAAGAAACUGCAGGGCUCGAGUCCGGGAGAGGGGGUGGAAUUCCCAGUGUAGCGGUGAAAUGCGUAGAUAUUGGGAGGAACACCGGUGGCGAAGGCGGCCCCCUGGACCGGUACUGACGCUGAGGCGCGAAAGCGUGGGGAGCAAACG